This 840-nucleotide ribosomal RNA is filed under the name uncultured bacterium. RNAcentral describes it as "bacterial SSU rRNA". It matches the Rfam family "Bacterial small subunit ribosomal RNA", at positions 56 to 892 of the family's 1533-position model. The record is from RNAcentral.
UGCAGUCGUGCGAGAAAGUACCUUCGGGUGCGAGUAGAGCGGCGGACGGGUGAGUAACGCGUAGGAAUCUACCUAGUAGAAGGGGAUAGCCCGAGGAAACUCGGAUUAAUACCGUAUACCUCCUUAGGGAGAAAGAGGGCUUAGCUUUGAUGCUCUCGCUAUUAGAUGAGCCUGCGUAAGAUUAGCUUGUUGGUGAGGUAAUGGCUCACCAAGGCGACGAUCUUUAGCUGGUCUGAGAGGACGAUCAGCCACAUUGGGACUGAGACACGGCCCAGACUCCUACGGGAGGCAGCAGUGGGGAAUAUUGGACAAUGGGCGCAAGCCUGAUCCAGCCAUACCGCGUGUGUGAAGAAGGCUUUCGGGUUGUAAAGCACUUUAAGUAAGGAGGAAAAGAUUGUAGUUAAUACCUGCAAUCCGUGACGUUACUUACAGAAUAAGGACCGGCUAAUUCCGUGCCAGCAGCCGCGGUAAUACGGAAGGUCCAAGCGUUAAUCGGAAUUACUGGGCGUAAAGCGCGCGUAGGUGGUUUUUUAAGUUGGAUGUGAAAGCCCUGGGCUCAACCUAGGAACUGCAUCCAAAACUAGAUGACUAGAGUACGAAAGAGGGAAGUAGAAUUCACAGUGUAGCGGUGGAAUGCGUAGAUAUUGUGAAGAAUACCAAUGGCGAAGGCAGCUUCCUGGUUCUGUACUGACACUGANGUGCGAAAGCGUGGGUAGCGAACAGGAUUAGAUACCCUGGUAGUCCACGCCGUAAACGAUGACAACUAGCUGUUGGGAGACAAGAUCUCUCAGUGGCGCAGCUAACGCUUUNAGUUGUCCGCCUGGGGAGUACNNCCGCANG